GUCUCUGCGGCGAAAAUUGUUAAUGCGUUCGGUUGUUAACCAAAAGUCAGUGGUUCGAGCCCACCCAGGGACA
This 73-nucleotide transfer RNA is filed under the name Loxodonta africana (African savanna elephant). It matches the Rfam family "tRNA". Rfam says of the family: Transfer RNA (tRNA) molecules are approximately 80 nucleotides in length. Lineage: Eukaryota; Metazoa; Chordata; Mammalia; Proboscidea; Elephantidae. The record is from Rfam by way of RNAcentral.